RNAcentral lists this long non-coding RNA (867 nucleotides) under Parus major (Great Tit). RNAcentral describes it as "lncRNA (ENSPMJG00000019312.1)". Lineage: Eukaryota; Metazoa; Chordata; Aves; Passeriformes; Paridae. The record is from RNAcentral.
AGAUGGGUAGCUCAUUUGCCAAGGAUUCUCUGGAGGGAGAGAAUUUUGUCAUGUCUUUUAUUUUUGAGAGUGAAUUGAACUCAUGGUUCAGUCAUGGAUUCAACCAAAGAACAGACUUUAAGGAAACCCUGAUGUCUUUUGGUUGUUUUUGAUGCAGUAUUGGCACACAGAAGAUAAUGAGAUGGGAAAACAAUGGCCUAAGGCAACUUGGGCUUUGGGUGACUUGUAGCCAGUCUCUCACUCCAGUGGUGCAGCUGACUCUGUGGAGAGUCAAAGCAAUGGCUACACUUGGGCUGUGCUGAGCUUCUGAUGCUAUCCACUACAACCUUCUCAUGUGCAAACCAUGGAAACAAACUCCAGGUGUUUGAAGUGCAUCUUUGCAUUUCCUGCAUAACUGGAUCCUAGCUCAUUAAGGGUUGCAGACAUCAGCCUCUGGAGAGAAGACAGAGUGGUGCUAACUCCUGGGAAGUGCUUUGCAUGGCAUGACAGGGAGAAAGGCCUGAGUGCCAUCGCCCUUGAGCAUCAUGGGCAGGGAUUUGGAGCACAUGCACAGGUUUGGAGGAGGAGAGGUCAAGAGACAGUCUUCAGUGCUGCCUGGUCUGUAUGCUUCUCUGUGGUAGGGAAAGGACACAGAAAUUGCCUGUUCCUAAUCUGGAUGGUCCAGAGAGGCUUUAUAUUAUAUGGGUCUGGCAGCAUGUUAGUGUGAGUGUAUAUUGAUUUCUGAGCCUGCUCACCCUCCUCUGCCAUCCAUUCUCUCUUCACCUUAAAAGUUAAGCAUUUCAUCCCCCCUUUCAGACCUCCUGUGCUCUCCAGUGCCCCAGCAAAAUGUGAGUUCUCCACAAGAAUUGAGACCCUGCAGAGUGUGAG